GACGAACGCUGGCGGCGUGCUUAACACAUGCAAGUCGAACGAUGAAGAAGAGAAACGCGAACUUCGGUUCAAAUUUCACUUCGGAUUAGUGGCAGACGGGUGAGUAACGCGUGAGCAACCUACCUCUUACAAAGGGAUAGCCUCGGGAAACCGUGAUUAAUACCAUAUGACACAUUCAUAAGGCAUCUUAAGAAUGUUAAAGCUACGGCGGUAAGAGAUGGGCUCGCGUCCCAUUAGCUAGUUGGUGAGGUAACGGCCCACCAAGGCGACGAUGGGUAACCGGCCUGAGAGGGUGAACGGUCACAUUGGAACUGAGACACGGUCCAAACUCCUACGGGAGGCAGCAGUGGGGAAUAUUGCACAAUGGAGGGAUCUCUGAUGCCGCGACGCCGCGUGAGCGAUGAAGGAAUUCGUAUCGUAAAGCUCUGUUCUAUGGGAAGAAAAGGACUGUACCAUAGGAGAAAGCCCCGGCUAAAUACGUG
This 482-nucleotide ribosomal RNA is filed under the name uncultured bacterium. RNAcentral describes it as "partial 16S ribosomal RNA". It matches the Rfam family "Bacterial small subunit ribosomal RNA", at positions 28 to 507 of the family's 1533-position model. The record is from RNAcentral.